Molecule: unclassified non-coding RNA, 343 nt
Filed under: fungal sp.
Lineage: Eukaryota; Fungi
Description: partial internal transcribed spacer region
Rfam family: Eukaryotic small subunit ribosomal RNA (bases 1-46)
Source: RNAcentral
AAGUCGUAACAAGGUUUCCGUAGGUGAACCUGCGGAAGGAUCAUUAACACUUUUUGUUGAUUGUUGGUUUUUCUUAUAAAAACCGACAACCACAAUUAUCCUAUCCAAACUGAAGAGCUUGUGAGCAGUGUGCUUCUUUUUGUUUCUUUCGAGACAAAAAGCUGUGCUCCCAUUUUCUCACUUUUUUCUCUUUGAAACAAAAACCCCAAUCACACAAAUCUAAAUCAUUUGUGAGAUUGCAAACAACCAAUUUGCUAUCUUGACAAUCUAAAAAACGACUAUUAAGAGAUUUACAUCUCAAAAUGUAACCAAACAACUCUUAACAACGGAUAUCUUGGCUCUC